RNAcentral lists this ribosomal RNA (484 nucleotides) under uncultured bacterium. RNAcentral's name for it is "partial 16S ribosomal RNA". It matches the Rfam family "Bacterial small subunit ribosomal RNA", at positions 29 to 507 of the family's 1533-position model. The record is from RNAcentral.
AUUGAACGCUGGCGGCAUGCUUUACACAUGCAAGUCGAACGGCAGCGCGGGCUUCGGCCUGGCGGCGAGUGGCGAACGGGUGAGUAAUACAUCGGAACGUGCCCAGUAGUGGGGGAUAGCUCGGCGAAAGCCGGAUUAAUACCGCAUACGACCUGAGGGUGAAAGCGGGGGAUCUUCGGACCUCGCGCUAUUGGAGCGGCCGAUGGCAGAUUAGCUAGUUGGUGGGGUAAAGGCCUACCAAGGCGACGAUCGGUAGCUGGUCUGAGAGGACGACCAGCCACGCUGGAACUGAGACACGGCCCAGACUCCUACGGGAGGCAGCAGUGGGGAAUUUUGGACAAUGGGCGAAAGCCUGAUCCAGCAAUGCCGCGUGUGUGAUGAAGGCCUUCGGGUUGUAAAGCACUUUUGGCGGGAACGAAAAGGACUGUGCCAAUACCACGGUUCGAUGACGGUACCCGCAGAAUAAGCACCGGCUAACUACGUG